RNAcentral lists this long non-coding RNA (1135 nucleotides) under Homo sapiens (human). RNAcentral describes it as "HSALNT0407412". Lineage: Eukaryota; Metazoa; Chordata; Mammalia; Primates; Hominidae. The record is from RNAcentral.
ACAUUUUAGCUUGCUUGUUGCUGGGGAAAAGACUUGCUGCUUUGUGUUUCAUUUGAUGAAGAUGGAGUUUCACUCUCGUCGCCCAGGCUGGAGUACAAUGGCGCGAUCUUGGCUCACUGCAACCUCCACCUCCCCAGUUCAAGUGAUUCUCCUACCUCAGCCUCCCAAGUAGCUGGGAUUACAGCUUCCAUAAGUCAGGAUUCCAGUCACAGCUUAGCUGGAUCCUCUCAGAAGGCUACGAUCAAGGUGUCAGCCAGACUGAGUUCUCAUCAGAGGCUCGACUAGGAGAGGAUCUGCUUCCAAGUUCCCUCAGGUUGUUGGAAGGAUUCAUUUUCUUGUGGCUAAGCUCACAGGAGCUUUCUUCUUCAAGGGCAUCAGGAGAGUGGAGAGCGAGUCUACUCAAAGACUUCUAUACAAAUCAUAAGGUAAUCACAUGAGGGACAUACCAUCAUCUUUGCCAUAUUCUGUUGGUUACAAACAAGUCACCAGUUCCACCUGCACUCAAGGGGAGGAGAUUAUACAGGGUGAACAUGGGGGCCAUCCUAGAAUUCUGCCCACUUUACAGUUGAAACAGUAUUUUUUAAAAUGCCAAUGAAAUCCAAGAUAGACAGUUUAUCUUGGAUAAACUUUUAGCACCUUUUGAUUAACAUACCUGUUGGACUUUACAACUGUAAGAUUAGUAAGCACAAGAUUCCCCAGUAUUUCAAGGAUUUAAAGGGAACAUGGUAAAAAGGUACUCUUUGCUAUGCAAAAUCUAGCCAUCUAGCAUUGCUGUGGCCCUGGCCAGUUUGCAGCUCUGGCCAAAAGAGGGCUGCUGAGUCCAGCCCUGUCCACAGUGUAUACGGGCACACCUGACUACAUCAUGCACAGCAAUCCUGUUUGUGGCACCACUGAUGAAUUACCCCUAUUCAAGUGAACAGGCAUUGAGACCCUAAGGGGACCACAGGGUCUGGUUCAUUCACCACAAACACAGUCUUCCUUGAAUGUUAGCAAUGAGUUUAGUCAUCUCAUUAGGAGACUUGAACAGAAGUGAAGGUAAACACUAUUCAUGUCAGAAAAAAAUAUAACGUGGUAGGUAGUAAGAUAUGUAAACAAAGGACUACAGUUCUCUGCCUUUUGAAAGCAUACCUGUGCU